Long non-coding RNA from Melanotaenia boesemani (Boeseman's rainbowfish), 1941 nucleotides. RefSeq lists it as uncharacterized. Lineage: Eukaryota; Metazoa; Chordata; Actinopteri; Atheriniformes; Melanotaeniidae. The transcript is spliced from 3 exons. The record is from RefSeq and is a predicted model, not a curated record.
UUUAAUAACAAGAAGAAGAAGAUACGAAAGAAGAUGGAAUCAAACGAUAAUGACAACCAGAACUAUCCAAAUCAUGACCCCAACCAAAAAGAAGAUCAUUCCAUAAAUAUGAGGACUGGGUGGUUCUGGGUGAUUCUAAGUGUUUUAAUAACAGGCUCGAAAGAAGCCCAGUAUAUUGAUACAGACAGGACCCUUUCAUCAUGUCUACCUGUUCACGCCCCUUUUUUUGUCCCCAAAACCGGAACAAACAACCGGAAAGAUGGAGACGAAGAUUUGAAAGAUGAGGAGAACAUCACAACUCAAGACAUCAUUGUCAGUGGCAGAAUAUUGAACAGUGACUCAAAGUGUGAAUAUGGUAAAAAAGAGUAUAUACACAGGUUUGAGAAAAACUUCAAACAUUAGUCCAGCACAGCUUAUGAAAUCAUCAUUAACUUAUUUGGCCAUAUUGCAAGCAACCCUUAUUUGGAAAAGCAUAAUGUCAUCCAGACUUUGAUAUUUCAGAUACUACAUGAAAAGUUGGGAAGAAAAUUAUGUCUGGAAAAUCACAACAGCCCGGUUUUACCAAAGGACUUCAACCGCAGUACAAAAAACAAUAAAACACCUGGGUCAGAGUUAUUUAAGCAUAUAGUGGAAAUGUUUCUACUCACUCUACUCUACUACGGUUUUUAUCAGCCAAUACAAGAUUAUGUGAAGAAAAAUGCUGUUAAUACCAAACAGUAUGCCUUUGCAAUAAUUUGUAUGCGAGAUGGCAGCAAAAGAAGUUUUAAGCCCAAAUAUCCAAACUUUGCUAACCGUAAACACACUCAUAGCGAGAAGUUUGUGAUUGAAGAGCUUGAAGAUUUUAUAAGCCGUAAUGGACCAAUGGUAGAAACUGUUUAUAUUUAUUCUUAUAACAGUCCUUGUUUACAAAGAAAGGGUGGAGUACAGCCUUGUAUGUGUAUGUUGAUGCACAAAGCGGCUGAAUGGAAAGAAAAACAUAACAUCUCAUUAACAGUAGGGUUCACCAAGUUCUGGGUACCAAAAUGUCCAGAUUGGUUUGAAAACCUCAUCUCAACCCUAGACUUUGAAAAAUUUAAAGACUAUAGGUUUAAAUUGGAUCACACCUAUUUAGUUGAUAAAUUUGACAAACCUCUGAUGAACUCCUUGCUAUCACAAGUAGAUAACCGUGAAAGAAGUAAACUGCUUGAAGAAAUCAAAUUCAUUCUAAAAGCUCUGCUGAAACUAGCAAAGGGUCCUGAUAACACCGGACUGAGAGACGAACUGUUGCUCAGAGGAGAACAACUAAUUCAUUCUUGCAAAUUUUCUCCUAUAGUCAGGGAUGAAGUUUGUAGAAUUUUGCUAAAGAAAUGGAGUGAAAUGGUAAACAACAGUUUCGAGAAAGACAUUAAAAGCAAGAUCAGAAAGGAAGUUGGCAUCGCAGUGGUUCUUCUUUUUAUGGACCAGUUAAAGUCAGAUUGGGGAAACAGCUUUCCUCUGCAACUGUACAGUGUAGAUCCAUCACAGCCAAAUGAUAAUGAUGUCCAAUGACAUCCAGUUGUUAGGCCAGGGGUGCCCAAGCUUUUUGCAUCCAUGGGCCAAAGUGAAAAUGUACCAGUGAGCCGCGAAACACAGCGAUUUUAGGGGUGAAACACAAAUAAAUGUAAAUCGUGGUUCUUUUAAUUAUUGUUAAUGCAUGCAAAUGCAUUCUUGUCCUCACUGCAAAAAACACACAAAAAACAUUAAUAUGGCAAAAUAAGAAAUAAAGGCAUAGUUAGAAGGAAAACAAACAAAAAUUGCAGACAGUAAAUUGUAACAAAAUAUAGUGCAAAAUGUCCUCAACCAAAAAAAACUUUUUUUUCUUAAAAAAAGAAAAAAAGAAAAAAAAGAAAAAAAGAAAAUUAAAAAAAAUGAUUCCAGUACAUCUUUUUCUUCUUCUUCUUUGCCUUCUUCUUGUUAUUCAAC